Molecule: ribosomal RNA, 791 nt
Filed under: uncultured archaeon
Lineage: Archaea
Description: bacterial SSU rRNA
Rfam family: Archaeal small subunit ribosomal RNA
Source: RNAcentral
GCUCAGUAACACGUGGACAACCUACCCUUGGGACGGGGAUAAACCCGGGAAACUGGGUAUAAUACCCGAUAGUUCUGGGAUGCUGGAAUGCGCCCAGGGCGAAAGCUCCGGUGCCCAAGGAUGGGUCUGCGGCCUAUCAGGUAGUAGUGGGUGUAAUGUACCUACUAGCCGACGACGGGUACGGGUUGUGAGAGCAAGAGCCCGGAGAUGGAUUCUGAGACACGAAUCCAGGCCCUACGGGGUGCAGCAGGCGCGAAAACUUUACUAUGCUGGCAACAGCGAUAAGGGGACCUCGAGUGCCAGGNUACAAUCUUGGCUGUCGCGAUGCCUAAAAAGCAUUGCAUAGCAAGGGCCGGGCAAGACCGGUGCCAGCCGCCGCGGUAACACCGGCGGCUCGAGUGGUAACCGCUAUUAUUGGGUCUAAAGGGUCUGUAGCCGGCCGGAUAAGUCUCUUGGGAAAUCCAGCUGCUCAACAGUUGGGCUUUCAGGAGACACUGUUUCGGCUCGAGGCCGGGAGAGGUGAGAGGUACUUCAGGGGUAGGGGUGAAAUCUUGUAAUCCUUGAAGGACCACCAGUGGCGAAGGCGUCUCACCAGAACGGACCUGACGGCAAGGGACGAAAGCUAGGGGCACGAACCGGAUUAGAUACCCGGGUAGUCCUAGCCGUAAACGAUACUCGCUAGGUGUCGGCCACGGUGCGACCGUGGUCGGUGCCGUAGGGAAGCCGUGAAGCGAGCCACCUGGGAAGUACGGCCGCAAGGCUGAAACUUAAAGGAAUUGGCGGGGGAGCAC